RNAcentral lists this ribosomal RNA (564 nucleotides) under Fusarium avenaceum. Its description in RNAcentral is "eukaryotic LSU rRNA". The stretch from base 194 to 347 matches the Rfam family "5.8S ribosomal RNA". Lineage: Eukaryota; Fungi; Ascomycota; Sordariomycetes; Hypocreales; Nectriaceae. The record is from RNAcentral.
CGUAACAAGGUCUCCGUUGGUGAACCAGCGGAGGGAUCAUUACCGAGUUUACAACUCCCAAACCCCUGUGAACAUACCUUAAUGUUGCCUCGGCGGAUCAGCCCGCGCCCCGUAAAACGGGACGGCCCGCCAGAGGACCCAAACUCUAAUGUUUCUUAUUGUAACUUCUGAGUAAAACAAACAAAUAAAUCAAAACUUUCAACAACGGAUCUCUUGGUUCUGGCAUCGAUGAAGAACGCAGCAAAAUGCGAUAAGUAAUGUGAAUUGCAGAAUUCAGUGAAUCAUCGAAUCUUUGAACGCACAUUGCGCCCGCUGGUAUUCCGGCGGGCAUGCCUGUUCGAGCGUCAUUUCAACCCUCAAGCCCCCGGGUUUGGUGUUGGGGAUCGGCUCUGCCUUCUGGCGGUGCCGCCCCCGAAAUACAUUGGCGGUCUCGCUGCAGCCUCCAUUGCGUAGUAGCUAACACCUCGCAACUGGAACGCGGCGCGGCCAUGCCGUAAAACCCCAACUUCUGAAUGUUGACCUCGGAUCAGGUAGGAAUACCCGCUGAACUUAAGCAUAUCAAUA